AACGAACGCAGGCGGCAGGCUUAACACAUGCAAGUCGAACGCCCCGCAAGGGGAGUGGCAGACGGGUGAGUAACGCGGAGGGAUCUACCGUACCCUACGGAACAACAGUGGGAAACGACUGCUAAUACCGUAUGUGCCCUUCGUGGGACAAAUGUAUCGGUAAAGGAUCGGCCCGCGUUGGAUUAGCUAGUUGGUGGGGUAAAGGCCUACCAAGGCGACGAUCAGUAGCCGGUCUGAGAGGUUGAUCGGCCACAUUGGGACUGAGACACGGCCCAAACUCCUACGGGAGGCAGCAGUGGGGAAUAUUGGACAAUGGGGGCAAGCCUGAUCCAGCCAUGCCGCGUGUGUGAUGAAGGACUUAGGGAUGUAAAGCACUUUCAGCGGGGAAGAAAAUGACGGUAUCCGGAGAAGAAGCCCCGGCUAACUUCGUGCCAGCCGCCGCCGUAA
Molecule: ribosomal RNA, 447 nt
Filed under: uncultured bacterium
Lineage: Bacteria
Description: partial 16S ribosomal RNA
Rfam family: Bacterial small subunit ribosomal RNA
Source: RNAcentral